CCUAAGGGUGGCUGCAGUGGGGAAUAUUGGACAAUGGGCGAAAGCCUGAUCCAGCCAUGCCGCGUGUGUGAAGAAGGCCUUCGGGUUGUAAAGCACUUUCAGUGGGGAAGAAAGCCUUGGGGCUAAUACCCUCGAGGAAGGACAUCACCCACAGAAGAAGCACCGGCUAACUCCGUGCCAGCAGCCGCGGUAAUACGGAGGGUGCGAGCGUUAAUCGGAAUUACUGGGCGUAAAGCGCGCGUAGGCGGUCUGAUAAGCCGGUUGUGAAAGCCCCGGGCUCAACCUGGGAACGGCAUCCGGAACUGUCAGGCUAGAGUGCAGGAGAGGAAGGUAGAAUUCCCGGUGUAGCGGUGAAAUGCGUAGAGAUCGGGAGGAAUACCAGUGGCGAAGGCGGCCUUCUGGACUGACACUGACGCUGAGGUGCGAAAGCGUGGGUAGCAAACAGGAUUAGAUACCCCGGUAGUC
This 465-nucleotide ribosomal RNA is filed under the name Vreelandella stevensii. RNAcentral's name for it is "partial 16S ribosomal RNA". It matches the Rfam family "Bacterial small subunit ribosomal RNA", at positions 338 to 795 of the family's 1533-position model. Lineage: Bacteria; Pseudomonadati; Pseudomonadota; Gammaproteobacteria; Oceanospirillales; Halomonadaceae. The record is from RNAcentral.